Molecule: long non-coding RNA, 374 nt
Organism: Passer montanus (Eurasian tree sparrow)
Lineage: Eukaryota; Metazoa; Chordata; Aves; Passeriformes; Passeridae
Exons: 3
Source: RefSeq, a predicted model, not a curated record
UUUGCCUCUCCUGAACAGCUUUACAGAACGGGUAUUCAUCAUCAACUGAGAUUUUCAGCCUACAACAGCAAUCCCAGUAGACCUGGAAGCACAUGCAAAGGGAGACUAAAUUGGGUCCAAGUCUCAAAAGGAUGAAAUAAGGAUUUAACAAUACAUCUCAGACUUAACUCCACUGAUGAGGAGGAAAGGAUGCCAUUUCCUCGGGAACUGGAAGAGAAAGAACCUUAUUUUUCAGUGAAUCACUCUGACUCCUCUGCCUUGGAAAGAUGUGAGACAGAUCCUCCAAGCAGUGAGAAUAAAGGUUACAUUUAGUGUUACUGAAGAAAAUUCCAUUAAUAUUUUCAGCUGGGCUGCUUCAUUAGGAAAGAAUACAU